Molecule: long non-coding RNA, 1265 nt
Filed under: Eutrema salsugineum
Lineage: Eukaryota; Viridiplantae; Streptophyta; Magnoliopsida; Brassicales; Brassicaceae
Description: long non-coding RNA (ESAL_LNC001449)
Source: RNAcentral
ACUAGUUAGACAACAUGUCUGUAAUGAGCUUUUUUUUUAAUGCUUCUUCAUACUCAGAUAAUGAUUCUUUUUUUUUUGCGAUAAGGCUGUCAAUUAGUCCCAUCUUCUGAAGUCUUUCUUUCAUCGCCAUGUCCUUCUCUUUAAUCAACCACAUGCUCUGAAACUCUGACAAAGCCUUGCCAUCCAUCGAAGCCCUCUUACCUCUACUUUUUGCUGCCUUAACACCAGGUGGCCGGUUGCUUCCUUGGUCAUCUUCGACAGUGUUCCUUUCCUCUGCGUGAGAAAAUGAUGAAUGUGGACCAUCCUCACACCUUCUCCUUUUAAACAUUCCUUCAGUUUUAUUUGUAGAUAGCUCAUUCCACUUCUGGUCAUUGCGAAGCUCCUUCCAAGCAUGGUCAAGGGUAAAUUUUUUCUUGGUCGUUGUAGAAGAUUUCAUGUGCGAGUUUCAGGACAUUAUUGUCAUUCUGUCCAGAAGCUUUCUCUCUUGUUCCUGCCUCGUAAGAUCCACAAAACUUGCACAUCAAAUUAUUAAUUUUUUGCCACCGUUGCUUACAGUUGCUUGCUUCUCUUCUUUCUCGUUCUGCAGCUUUGGGACUAGUGGAAAAGUAUGCUGCUAUCUGUUUUCAGAAAGCACCAGACUUUUGCUUAUUGCCAACCACCGGGUCUUUGCUAGUGUUUAGCCAUGCGCUGAUGAGCAAGACAUUAUCUGUAAGGGUCCACUUCCUCUUUUCUCUACGCUCUGCAGUAGUGUCUUCAUUGUAGCUUGAAGCUUCUGUGCAUUGACUGCUAAAGAGAGGGAUUUAGUCGAGAGAAGGAAAGGGAUCAUGAAGGGUAUGUUCUUGUUGACUGUUUAACAGGUCAACAAAGUUGGAGGAUUGAGUAUAUGGAUUCGAAGAAGAGAAAUCUAUGGAGAAAGAAAAGAAGUGAUUGUGUUUAUAAGAAAAGAAAGAGAACAAGCACAAUAAAAAAAAAGAACAAUGUGGUUGAUAGGUGAUGAAAAGAGAGAGAACAAGCACUAGUGUUUAUAGUAGAAAACAUAGGAAGAGAAAAAGCAAUUAAAUAAGCUUUGAAGCAUUCAUAACCCAUUAAUCACAUCGAGUAGACAUAUAUCUAACAAGUAGAUAUAGAAAUAAUCUUCUAUCUAACCAUCAAUGACCUAUCUAAUAAAUCCAUUUCUUACCUAAUAAACCCUAAACACACCUCACAGCUUAACCAUAAAUGACAUAUGCAUUUAUGUCCAUCGAAAAGAUGUGAAAACAUACCUC